ACUGCUCAGAAGAUGGCUCUCCUUGGCCGUAAGAGCAAGAGCUAGUUGGGGGAACCACAACUGAUAGUCAAGGCAUUGAAAAACAAUGGUUUGAAGAGCUGAUUGGCCCCAUGGAACUUGCUUUAAAAACAAAUAGUGUAGGAAUUCAAUGGAGAAUCUUUUUAAGGACAGGCUCAUCACCAUUAAUCAGAUUCCCAAGUAAAUCAGAUUUUUCAGAAGUGAUAAAUCAAUAGCCUAAUGUGCAUAGGUGGUAUGAGAUAUUUUUUAUAUGAGAGGACUCCUAUUUUUUCUACAGACCAUGACCACUGCGUGGGUAUUAUUUUCUAAAGUAAUCUCUACACCCAACAUGGACCUUGAACUCACAAACUCAAGAUCAAGAGUCACAUGUUUCACUCUCUGAGCCAGCCAGAUCAUGAAGCAGAGAACUCCUUGCAAACAAACCAGUUGGGAUGCGCUGGCCAGCGCCAGAGACCUCAGAAGAGUAGAAGACAGAGAUGGUAAUUCAAGGGCAGCCUUAGGCCACACUUUUAAAGCACCCCCAAUAUGCCAGGAACUGGAACAUUUGCCAGGACCACAAUGAGGAACAGAUCCCGGCAUGACAAAGAAGUGAAUAAAAUAGUUGGCCAGCAGAGAUGGGUGAGUGCAUAAAGACAAACUGUUUCUGUGAAGCAGGCUUUGGAAAUUCCAUAAUGCCAAGGCAUAGGAGGAGCUUCCCAGGGGUCUACUCAGGAGACCGAAAGAGACAAAAAUGCCCCAUCAGGCUCCUGUAUAUCCAAAGCUACCCUAAACUGGAGAAAGAGAAAGAAGGAUCCUUUCAAUGAGAACAAGGGACUAUCCAUUCCUCUCCUCCCCACGUCCAAGAAUAUCAUAAGUACCAAUUUUGAUUCCAAUAUUUCAAACUAUAGCAUCAUAAAUUAUGAUGCGUGGCCCUGAGAUUUAAUAACCUGCCAUAUUACAAUGAAGAGCUGUCCCAUCAAUAUCAAUAACUGAGAACAUGUGCAGAAAUCUGUCAAAUAUAUAGGAAUCGAAAGAGCAAGACGUCUUACCAUACUUCCUGUGCUAAUGUACACUAAAUGAUUUUAAAUGCCCUUUUUCAGUUUCAUAGAUUUUUUGGCAUGUAUUUGGCCAAUUUCAGCCUUACAUAAAGAAACAUGUAUGUGUGUUUUCUUGGAGAAAUCUUUACAAUAUUUGAUGGCCACGUUUUUAAAGAUGCAACAAAAACUUUUGUUUGGAGAGUUUAAUUAUGAGCACUACAGUGACUAUUCUCCCCUAUGUCUCAUGCAUCCCCAGGUUUGUUCUAUUAAACAUCUGA
Canis lupus familiaris (dog) is the source of this 1312-nucleotide long non-coding RNA. RefSeq lists it as uncharacterized. The record is from RefSeq and is a predicted model, not a curated record. The transcript has 4 exons. Lineage: Eukaryota; Metazoa; Chordata; Mammalia; Carnivora; Canidae.